AUUGAACGCUGGCGGCAGGCCUAACACAUGCAAGUCGAACGAGUGGCGGACGGGUGAGUAACGUCUGGGAAACUGGCCGAUGGGGGGGGGUAACCAGUGGGAACGGUAGCUUAAACCGCCUUCCAUCGGAUGUGCCCAGAUGGGAUUAGCUGGUGGGUGGGGUAAAGGCUCCCUUAGGCGACGACCCCUAGCUGGUCUGAGAGGAUGACCAGCCACACUGGACCUGAGACACGGUCCAGACUCCUACGGGAGGCAGCGGUGGGGAAUAUUGCACAAUGGGCGCAAGCCUGAUGCAGCCAUGCCGCGUGUAUGAAGCAGGCCUUCGGGUUUUAAGGUACUUUCAGCGGGGAGGCGUUACCCGCAGAAGAAGCACCGGCUAACUCCGUGCCAGCAGCCGCGGUAAUAC
This 406-nucleotide ribosomal RNA is filed under the name uncultured bacterium. Its description in RNAcentral is "partial 16S ribosomal RNA". It matches the Rfam family "Bacterial small subunit ribosomal RNA", at positions 28 to 526 of the family's 1533-position model. The record is from RNAcentral.